UACGUAGGGGGCGAGCGUUGUCCGGAUUUAUUGGGCGUAAAGGGCGUGUAGGCGGCUGGGUAAGGGUGUGGUGAAAUCUCCCGGCUUAACUGGGAGGGGUCUAGGCCGACUGCCUGGCUAGAGGACGGUAGGGGCGCGCGGAAUUCCCGGUGUAGUGGUGAAAUGCGUAGAGAUCGGGAGGAACACCGGUGGCGAAGGCGGCGCGCUGGGCCGGCCCUGACGCUGAGGCGCGAAAGCGUGGGGAGCGAACUGG
RNAcentral lists this ribosomal RNA (253 nucleotides) under uncultured bacterium. RNAcentral describes it as "partial 16S ribosomal RNA". It matches the Rfam family "Bacterial small subunit ribosomal RNA", at positions 524 to 776 of the family's 1533-position model. The record is from RNAcentral.